Molecule: long non-coding RNA, 418 nt
Filed under: Pan troglodytes (chimpanzee)
Lineage: Eukaryota; Metazoa; Chordata; Mammalia; Primates; Hominidae
Description: long non-coding RNA NONPTRT016450
Source: RNAcentral
UGUUUGUGUAACAUUUAAUAAAAUGUUUUAUCUCAGUGGCAUUUGGAUUUAAAAAUUAUUUUGGGCUGUCACAGAAUGUUGACUUUUCCUAAUCUGUUACAUAGGGCCGUGGGUCUGGAUUUCCAGGAAAGCGGAGACCUCGAGGUGCAGGACUGUCGGGGCGAGGUGGCCGAGGCAGGUCAAAGCUGAAAAGUGGAAUCGGAGCUGUUGUAUUGCCUGGGGUGUCUACUGCAGAUAUUUCAUCAAAUAAGGAUGAUGAAGAAAACUCUAUGCACAAUACAGUUGUGUUGUUUUCUAGCAGUGACAAGUUCACUUUGAAUCAGGAUAUGUGUGUAGUUUGUGGCAGUUUUGGCCAAGGAGCAGAAGGAAGAUUACUUGCCUGUUCUCAGUGUGGUCAGUGUUACCAUCCAUACUGUGU